Molecule: transfer RNA, 76 nt
Filed under: Micavibrio aeruginosavorus
Lineage: Bacteria; Pseudomonadati; Bdellovibrionota; Bdellovibrionia; Bdellovibrionales; Pseudobdellovibrionaceae
Also listed under: 3 other names
Description: tRNA-Trp
Rfam family: tRNA
About the family: Transfer RNA (tRNA) molecules are approximately 80 nucleotides in length. Their secondary structure includes four short double-helical elements and three loops (D, anti-codon, and T loops).
Source: RNAcentral
AGGGGUAUAGCUCAGUUGGUAGAGCGGCGGUCUCCAAAACCGCAGGCCGCAGGUUCGAGCCCUGCUGCCCCUGCCA